Jatropha curcas is the source of this 194-nucleotide non-coding RNA. The record is from RefSeq and is a predicted model, not a curated record. Lineage: Eukaryota; Viridiplantae; Streptophyta; Magnoliopsida; Malpighiales; Euphorbiaceae.
CGAGAUGUGGAUCGAUAAGAGUAAUUAAUUAUUGUUGUAAAUGCAAGGGUAAGCGAAUUAUGGAGUAGAGUUCCGCAAUUGUAUUCCAACUGGGUUGUAAAUGAACAAAUAGAGUAUAGACAUUUAUUAUUUGGAUUGUACUUUGGAUAUAAUCAUGAAAUAAAUUAUUAGGCCUGAAUCCACAAUUGUGAGUA